Molecule: long non-coding RNA, 376 nt
Organism: Saccostrea cuccullata (small rock oyster)
Lineage: Eukaryota; Metazoa; Mollusca; Bivalvia; Ostreida; Ostreidae
Exons: 3
Source: RefSeq, a predicted model, not a curated record
AUAAUGUACAUUUUACAUUUGACCAGAAUGUAUGCGAUGGGCUGCAUCAUGGUUUUGAAGGAAAAGGUUACACUAUUUAUUACAGACAGCAAGAAAACAUCAUUGAACACCACCAACUAAUAAGACUCCAAAGGAAUAAUGGAAAAUAAGAUAUUUAAAGCUGUCAAAAAGCAGAGUUUAGAGUUCAGUGGAUUCCAUGACAGUACUUUGGAUAAUGUUAAUCAGGCAGCAAUUCUUUUCCAAAGGAUCUUAAGUGCUUUUAGAAGAGGCUAAUAAACAAAGGACAGUCACUUACUACAGAAGAGAAGCAGGGGAGAUUAAUGAUAUUCUGAGUGGCAUGACUGCACCUUACAAAGAUGUAAAACUUUAAAAAUUA